CCCCUCCUUCCUCUUUCCCCUCUCUCUCUCCUGUGUGUCUCCCGACUCCAGCGGCUGCGGCGGCGAUCUAGAGCCUUCUUGCUCCAUCCUUCUGUUCUCCACAGACCACAGGCAACUACGCUGCUCAAAGAAUCGAAUCAUGGAAGGAGGAGGUAGCACCACGCGCUUCUACCGCGGCACCACCACCACUCUCGCCACAAACCCCACUUCUGCUGCGCGAGCAGAAUGGGGCACAGAAAGGGGAUAGGGAGGCUGCUGUUGAUGCUGAGAUAGCGCGGGUUAACAAGCUACCAGCCCAUAGCUCCUAUGCUAUACACCGCAUGAAGGUGCUAAACAAACUUCGCCAUCUGUUGUCUAUCAAGAGGACCACAUCUCAAGAUGAGGAGCUCGAACUUCUUUUUGCAACCCUUUCAAUCUGAAGUGUAUUCCUGAUAAGUCAAUAUUUUAACCCUACUAGGUGAGUGCACUGUGCCCGCUGUUCCGUUGUUUACACCUACAGCAUAUUUCCAAUAAUUUUCGAGUCCAAGGAGAUCCCUUUGAUUCCUGUAACAGAAGUUGUGGGGAACCUUGCUUGAGGGUGUGGCGUGCUAUGUUCCUCUUGACCUGGACGAUAUAGAAUGGUGAAACUAUAUAAUGUACAAAUGCUCAGUUGUAUUCAAAAUGGAUGGUUGUAACCAUAACUGAGGUUGCUCUUAUUGAUUAGUAUAACUUUGCUAAAUAACUAUGGUAUCGGUUGUUGCCUUAUUGGAUUCGAUGUUCAUUUUUCA
This is an RNA transcript of Setaria italica (foxtail millet), 767 nucleotides long. RefSeq lists it as uncharacterized. The transcript is spliced from 4 exons. Lineage: Eukaryota; Viridiplantae; Streptophyta; Magnoliopsida; Poales; Poaceae. The record is from RefSeq and is a predicted model, not a curated record.